UACAGAGGGGGCAAGCGUUGUUCGGAAUUACUGGGCGUAAAGGGCGCGUAGGCGGCCUUCUAAGUCGAACGUGAAAUCCCCGGGCUCAACCCGGGAACUGCGUCCGAUACUGGAAGGCUUGAAUCCGGGAGAGGGAUGCAGAAUUCCAGGUGUAGCGGUGAAAUGCGUAGAUAUCUGGAGGAAUACCGGUGGCGAAGGCGGCAUCCUGGACCGACAUUGACGCUGAUGAGCGAGAGCUAGGGGAGCAAACGGG
Molecule: ribosomal RNA, 253 nt
Filed under: uncultured bacterium
Lineage: Bacteria
Description: partial 16S ribosomal RNA
Rfam family: Bacterial small subunit ribosomal RNA
Source: RNAcentral